Mangifera indica (mango) is the source of this 79-nucleotide small nucleolar RNA. RefSeq annotates it as small nucleolar RNA U31b. The transcript has a single exon. The record is from RefSeq and is a predicted model, not a curated record. NCBI's taxonomy places the organism in Eukaryota, Viridiplantae, Streptophyta, Magnoliopsida, Sapindales, Anacardiaceae.
GGAUAUGAUGAUUUCUUUUUGACACCCAGUCUGACUUCCGAUGGAAUCUGGUGAUAGAUAUCGACCUUUUAUCUGAUCC